GUUGCUGUGUGUGUGUGUGUGUGUGUGUGUGUGUCAGCUGUUGAGGUCAGAUUGUGUGAGGAGGCGGGAUGAGGCUCAGUGUGUGUGUGAUCGCAGCCUGAUUAACACACACGGUCCUCAGCCUCCUCUUGAACACACACACACACUCCGUGACUUUUCGGCUCUCCAUCAUGGACCUGGACCCCGCCGUCAUCAUCCCCGCCAUCCUCUUCACCGUCGUUGCCAUUUAUUUCGCUACGUCGCUCCUCAGCAGGAAGCCCGACGCCUCCUCCUCGUCUGCCGGGAGCAAGAAGUCCAAACUCGGGUACAGAGACGACCUUCCUCCGCAAGGAGCUCUGGAAGAAGAGCCCGAAGCCUCCCUGCGACCAGAGCCCCCAGCUCCGGCUGUGGAGGACAUAGGAGCCGCCGAGAAGAUCCAGGCUGUCCCAGAACCACAACAUGUCCCUGAACCAGUGAAGAUACCAGAAGCUGAGCCAGAAGCAGCAGAAGAUCCAGAGGACAGAGAAGCAGUCACAGCACCAGAACCUGUGGCACAACCAAAAAAAGUGCCAGAGACAAGAGCAGAACGACCACCGGCGCCAGAAGCAGUCCCUGAACCAACAAAAGAGCCAAAGUCUGUUCCAGAACCAGUCACAGUAUCAGAACUUGUCUCUGAAGCUGUGUCAGGCCCAGAACCUGUUCUUGAACCAGAUGAAGCACAAGAAGCAGCACCAGUGUCUGAACCCAUACCAGGCUUGGUAUCAGGCCCAGAACAAGCUGCAGAACCUACCCCAGAGUCCAAACCUGUAGCAGAGCCCUUAUCAGAACCAGCCAGGUCCCCUGAACUCAUAUCUGAACCCAAAACUGUCCCAGAACCUGUUACUGAUCCAGAGCCUGUGCUCGUGUCUGAAGUGGCAGCCCAGAAGCCCGCGACUGAACCUGAAGAACUGCUUGAGCAGAUGCCCGGACCCAAUGAAGGUCUGACAGAACCAUCGCGUGAGCGGGAACCCGAACCAGAGACCGUCCUGGAUGACGAUGUGGCUGCAGCUGCUGAUGUGCUGAACUUCACCCCGGGAAUGAAACAGAGUAAGGUGGCGGUGCUGAUGACCCAGGAGGACAUGGAGGAGGAGCAGAGGAUAGAGCUCACGUCUGAUUUUACCUCUCUGUAAUCAGCCUCAGCAGACUCGUGCUAGUGUGCUAGGAAGGAGAUGGUAAGGAGAAUAUCCCCUCCCUAAACCCUCAGCCCUGCCCGUCCUUAAUCACCCCUAACGCUGCAGCACAGAUAGACUGACGCCAACAUUCACAGUGAGAAACAGAGCUGCAAACCGGUGGGACAAAUGCAGCCAGUUAGAUCAAAGUGUCCAGUAAGAAGCUGUAAACUGAUUAACGUCUCUCCUGCAGAGCCGACAGCAGCUGCAGGAGAGACGUCCCUCAUCUGAAGUCUGGGUUUCUUCAGAAGAACAAACAUGUUGAUAAAAGGAAUUAAAUGUGCUGGAGGAACAUAAUUAAAGAACAUCUGAAAUAACUGCAAUGAUUUGAUUAUUUGAUUCAAUCUGCAAAAUGACAAUAAAAUAAACUCUGAGAAUCAGCUUUCGUGGAACCACAGAAGCAGUCAUGUGAUUCGUUUCAGCUGCAACUUCAAAAGAAAACAGAAAAUGUUACUGGAAUUUAAAACGAGUUGAAGGCAUAUUAAAGCAGUGUGUGUAGCUAUGAUUUUCUUAUUUCUUUCAUUGUGACUGUGGAGUCUCCUCUGUGGGGAGGGUCUGUGUUUGUGUCUCCUGUGGACGUUCGGGUCCAACUCUUGGUUGGGUCCCUGCUGACGCUUCAUGUGGAGAACAUUUAAAACAUGUUUUUGUGUUUUCUGCCCACGAGUGGGCGUGUCCCAACUUUUAAUCGUUUCCUGUCUCUGCAGUGAGAUAUUCUGCAUGAGGUGCUGAUGACUGAUUAUUGAUCGGUCUAUCCCUACGGCUGAUGCUCCUCCCCGUUUCACGCUCAUUCCUCUGCUGUUGGUCACAUGGUCUGUCUUUACACCCAGCCCGCCGCUCCAGACAGCGGCUGCUUAUCCUCUUAUCAUUAUUGUCUUUCACCGUCUGUUAACAGGAAGCUCAGCCCUGCCCCUUUAACCUCCCAGCAUGCACCAGUGUACCGACUGAGUGUGACCCAGUGUGGACAAAAGGCAGCCGAUGUGGGUCACAUGUUCUCCGAGGGGAUAAGACGUCCAUACAGGAAACACAAAGGAGACGCUCUGCACCUCCAGCUGCAGCAGGAGCGCGCUCAGUGUUGAAAGGGCGGCUUCACGGGCUUUAAAUCUAAAAGAAAAGAGCGCCGGGGUCAUGUGACCACGCUGGGACUGACCUGAGUCUCCCGGGCUCCAGGGUUGGACGAGCUCUGGGAGCAUUUUCACAGAAGUGUGAUGGGAACUCUCUGAGUCAUGUGAAGAAUCCAGAUCUUAAGAUCAGGCUUCAUGCAGUCACAGCGUGAACACGUCCUCAGACUCCCCUUCAUGUGGUUCGGUGUGCGCUGCCUUCUUUACCUCAGACAGGUGAGAUGGUCCUCUUCAGUCCAACCGCUCACCUCAGACAGACUGCUUUCAUUAUCUCUGUUACUUCAGGGCUACUGCCUGUUUAUGGAGGCAGAGGUGUGUUCAUACUGAGAAUCAUUACAAUCAUUCGAUUUGGUUUUUAUUCCUGGGACUGUUUCAUAUUUCCUACCAACCCGUCUCUUUGUCCUGCAAGUAUCCGGUUGUCCCUGAUUCAGUCUCCAGCUUUCACACACACAUUUUCCUGACCUGCAUAAACUACUGGAACACUUUGUUGCAGAGGACACGGUAACUUGAUUUUACUGUUCAUCUCCCUCACAGACGAGUGGAGCUGCAAACUUUGAGUUCAUCUCCUGAAGCGCUCAAACAAAAAGGCCUGAGAGCAGACGCCCGUCACAGCUGCUGCCUCGUCCGGAGCAGUUUAAUUUCUGGGUGUGGACUUUGAUAUCACUGCUGCUGUGAUUCUAGCAGCGGGCUGCCAGACUUCAUAUCAGCCUCCUGCAGAAACUCGACUGUGCAGCAGACGUCAGAGCAGGGUUACAAUGAUUCAGACGGGAUUUUGGAGGCGCUUAAAGACAUUCAUAAAAAUAGAGGUUGAAUCACUUAAGCCAGCGGUCCCCAACCUUUUUUGCGCCACGGACCGGUUUAUGCCCGACAAUAUUUUCACGGACCGGCCUUUAAGGUGUCGCGGAUAAAUACAACAAAAUAAAACUAGUACCGGUACCGAAAAAAAGAAGAUUUACUCAUAACACACGUGAAAAGACCCAGGAAAACCGAGUUAACGAUAAAAACGAUAACAAAAUAACGCUGAAAACCGAUAAAAACCCUGAAAACCAUACAUUUCACACUUGAGCCUCAACUCUCGCGGCCCGGUACCAAACGACUCACGGACCGGUACCGGUCCGAGGCCCGGGGGUUGGGGACCACUGACUUAAGCCAAACAGUUCAGCGCAUUAUCCAAAGCACAGGAAACCGUGGCCCAUAAUUAAUGGUUGCUGUAAAACGAGCAGCGAGGACCUUCGUGUUUGUUGGAGAGUCCUUCGCCUGCGUCUGAGCGGCCGAGCUCAGUUUCUUUUUUGGACUUUUCCACUGCACGCAGCAUGGAGCUCACCAGCUCUCCUCUUUAAAAACUGAUCGCCGCUUCUUGUCCAUGAGCGCCCUCCUCUGGUCAAACACAGCACACAUUUAAAAGAACCAUAAUAAUACAUCUCAUUAAUAUAAUCAGCUGUCACACAGUCAAAGUCAGCCUGGACCAGGAGACUGUGGAGUUCCCCACCCCUGUCAUAUGGAGUAUUUUAUUACACGCCGACCGUGACGUUUCUAAACGUUUUAGUGGCACAUGUUCAGGUGCUGUUAAAAUAUAAGUUUUACUUUUUCUAUUUUUCCACCUAAAGCUCCACAUGUUCGAUGUCCUUCCUGUCGCGACCCCGCAGGGAUUCAUGUCCCCGGGGAUGAACCGCGGGUCAGUCGUGAAUGUGCAGCACUGUGGACUCUCAUGACUUUAAACCUCGCCAUCUUUAUUUUGACCUGUGGGUUAGAGGUGUGGGAACUGAACGACUGUCAUCAUCAACAUUUUUUCCUGUUGAAUUUUCUGUAUUUUGAUCCAGGUGAAUAAAUAAUUUCAGGGUGGAGGUGUGUUCUGUAGCUGGAGAAACACUUCUGCGAACUUUGCUUUGUCGAUGUAGCCUGAGGCAGCUGCUGUGUCGCUGUGGACCGGCUGCUGAUCAAGCGCUCGCCUCUGCUCGUUUAUUUCUGUCUUCGCUCUGGUCUCGUCACAUCUGUCAGCUUCUGUCCAGCUGUGCUGCUCGCCUGCUAACCCUGCAUGCUGCCUGCUAACGCUCAGCUAACGGUGAGUGCCGCCCUUUGCUUUACCUGUCAGGAGAGCCGUUGUUAACCAUGUUAGGCAACGUUUUCCAUGAGUCGAACUCUGUCUACGUUAACCUAACUGACUCUGGUUGCAUCUAACAGCUGGAGUCGCUCGUGAAGGACUUUCCACUGAAAUGUUAGCUUAGGCUUCCCAGUGACCGCUCGGCAACCUCCAGUCAAGGAAAAAUGUGUUGUCCCCGGCUGGAGGGUGACUGUUGCCUAGGUUACCUCAGUCCCAAAUCGGUGCUGCACCUAAAACCUGUGUGUGUUUUAUGUUCCCACUGGUAGCAGACCUCUGCAGUCUCCUGUAGUUUGCUCUGGAGAUGCAGACUGCAAACACCAACCAACCACAGACUGGAAACAGAACAUUUACUUUCAAAGUAAAAGCUGUAGCCAACACAUUUCAUGCAGCUUUUACUCUGAAGGUGAGCUCUGUCACAACAGCUCAGUGAGUCGUUGACGACUCGCUGCAAGUCAGCGACUUCUAUGCAAACUACGAGGCACCAAAGCAACCUCGAGGAGGUUUUCGGUGCAGCACCGUUUGCUCCUCUGCCCAAAAAACUUCAGCAUCUAUAAACCUGAAUAUUCGAGUAGAGUAAAUGUUGGCGUUAGCAUCUCUCAGAGCUGAGCUGAUCCGUGAGGAUGAGGAGCGCUGAAGAGAUGGAGAUCAGACCCUGCAGAAAGUCCUGCCUGCUUUCUUCUCUUGUUGUUGAGUUUUGAGGUUUGAGCUGCUUGUGAAAAGUAAACAUCUUCACACCAAAGUGCCUUCAGGAGUUUCUUUACUGUCUGCUUUUCGUGUCCAGCCUUUCUGAAGCAAACAAAUUAAUUAUGUGAGUGAAUGUUAAUGAAGUUAACCUCAGUAUAACCUAGUUCUCACUGCUGGUUUCAAAUGAAAAAAGACAAUUAGACGACAAGCUGCAAUAAAACGUUCCUGCUAGCUUCAGUGUUCAGUUGUGAUUUUAAAUGUUAACCAUGAAAUAAAAGUGUGAAACAUGUUGUUGAUUCUUUCUGAUCUUUGUUUUGUAAAUUCUGGAUUAUUAAAAAUACUUUUGCCCAUUCU
Long non-coding RNA from Oreochromis aureus, 5444 nucleotides. Lineage: Eukaryota; Metazoa; Chordata; Actinopteri; Cichliformes; Cichlidae. The record is from Ensembl.